This 480-nucleotide ribosomal RNA is filed under the name uncultured bacterium. Its description in RNAcentral is "partial 16S ribosomal RNA". It matches the Rfam family "Bacterial small subunit ribosomal RNA", at positions 28 to 507 of the family's 1533-position model. The record is from RNAcentral.
GAUGAACGCUCGCGGCAGGCCUAACACAUGCAAGUCGAGGGGGAAGUUACUUUCGGGUGACUGAGACCGGCGUACGGGUGCGUAACGCGUAUACAAUCUGCCUUUCACUGGGGGAUAGCCCGAAGAAAUUUGGAUUAAUACCCCAUAGUAUAUAGGGACGGCAUCGUUUUUAUAUUAAAGCUUAGGUGGUGAAAGAUGAGUAUGCGUUCUAUUAGCUAGUUGGAGAGGUAACGGCUCCCCAAGGCGAUGAUAGAUAGGGGUUCUGAGAGGGAUGUCCCCCACACUGGUACUGAGAUACGGACCAGACUCCUACGGGAGGCAGCAGUGAGGAAUAUUGGACAAUGGCCGGAAGACUGACCCAGCCAUGCCGCGUGCAGGAUGAAGGUCUUAUGGAUUGUAAACUGCUUUUGUAAGGGAAGAAUAAGGGCUACGCGUAGUUUGAUGACGGUACCUUACGAAUAAGCAUCGGCUAACUCCGUG